Molecule: ribosomal RNA, 477 nt
Filed under: uncultured Allobrachymonas sp.
Lineage: Bacteria; Pseudomonadati; Pseudomonadota; Betaproteobacteria; Burkholderiales; Comamonadaceae
Description: bacterial SSU rRNA
Rfam family: Bacterial small subunit ribosomal RNA
Source: RNAcentral
UUAAAUGAAUUGACGGGGACCCGCACAAGCGGUGGAUGAUGUGGUUUAAUUCGAUGCAACGCGAAAAACCUUACCCACCUUUGACAUGGCAGGAAUCCUAAAGAGAUUUGGGAGUGCUCGAAAGAGAACCUGCACACAGGUGCUGCAUGGCUGUCGUCAGCUCGUGUCGUGAGAUGUUGGGUUAAGUCCCGCAACGAGCGCAACCCUUGCCAUUAGUUGCUACGAAAGGGCACUCUAAUGGGACUGCCGGUGACAAACCGGAGGAAGGUGGGGAUGACGUCAAGUCCUCAUGGCCCUUAUAGGUGGGGCUACACACGUCAUACAAUGGCCGGUACAGAGGGUAGCCAACCCGCGAGGGGGAGCCAAUCCCACAAAGCCGGUCGUAGCCCGGAUCGCAGUCUGCAACUCGACUGCGUGAAGUCGGAAUCGCUAGUAAUCGUGGAUCAGAAUGUCACGGUGAAUACGUUCCCGGGUCUU